UGAGGGUGUCUUUCAGUGCAUUAGCCUAGUGUGUUAUGUUUCUCCUUGAGCUAAAAAAAAUCUGUGACCAAGACCCUGAAGUUCCUCAGCUGCAGUUUAAGUGAGGCAGGUGCAGUAGAUACUCCUUCCAUGCAGCGCAGCCAUCCUGAGCCUGCAGGGACCAGCUCAUGAUGAACCUUAAGCUUCUGUUUUUCCUUGCUGCCUUUCUCUAAGUAACAAAUCUGCUUCUCAUACCUUGUUGUAUAUGAAUAUGUUCUGAUUUACUGGAUUCAGACAAGUUGGUAACCAGUGCACAGUGAACCUGCUUCACAGGUAGUGUUUGUCUCAUUAGGAAGAUCCUCCUUCCCUUUUGUGCUAAGAAGAAUUCUAAAAUGCCCUCCUCAGGAUUUCCCACACUAAUCCUCAGGACUGAAAAAGAUGAAAUAUCCUACUAUAUAACAUGGAAAAUGGAAUUUUUCAGAUGUAACUAAGGUUACCAUUCAAUUGGAUUUGCACUGAUAAAAAUGGAGAUUAUCCAGGUGGACCUAAUCUAAUCACAUAACACCUUUUAAAAGCAGUCUGUUUUCUCUGGCUGGUGGCAUAAAAGGAAAUCAGACAAACAGAGAAGAGUGAGAAGGAUUGACUAUGGCUUGAAGAAGGAUUGGGUGUGUGGCAAAAAAAUAUGAGUAAUCUCUAGAAGCUGAGAGUAGUGCCUGGUUGACAGCAAAGCACCUCACUUGGACCAUCAAGACUUCUGACCCAUAAAAUUGUAAGAUAAUAAAUGACUGCUUCUUUAAGUUA
Microcebus murinus (gray mouse lemur) is the source of this 780-nucleotide non-coding RNA. Lineage: Eukaryota; Metazoa; Chordata; Mammalia; Primates; Cheirogaleidae. The record is from RefSeq and is a predicted model, not a curated record.